This 390-nucleotide long non-coding RNA is filed under the name Sus scrofa (pig). RNAcentral describes it as "lncRNA (ENSSSCG00015062553.1)". The record is from RNAcentral. Lineage: Eukaryota; Metazoa; Chordata; Mammalia; Artiodactyla; Suidae.
UCAGAGAUCCCAGAAGACCCACUUGUGGCUGAAGAGUAUUAUACUGAUGCAUUUGAUUCCUGUUCUGAAGAAAGUGAGGAAGAGCAAGAAAAUGUGGUGUUCUCAGCGGGAGAGGAAGAGGUGCAGGAUGAGGGGUCCCAGCCUGCUUACAGGACAAACCAACAGGACAGUGAUAUUGAAGCACUGGCCAGGUGUUUAGAGCACGUCCUGGGCUGCACCUCUCUGGACACAAGGACCAUCACCAGCUCAGCUCCAGACACAUCCUCAGGACCAACAAUUUUCAACAGUGCAGUGGCCAGGACCAAAAUGAAACGCAUGAGAGAAUCAGCUGUGCAGAAGCUGGGGGCAGAGGUGUUUGAGGAGGUCUACACUUAUCUCAAGAGAGCAAGG